CAUACCUAAACGUUGCUUCGGCGGGAACAGACGGCCCCGUGAAACGGGCCGCCCCCGCCAGAGGACCCCUAACUCUGUUUCUAUAAUGUUUCUUCUGAGUAAAACAAGCAAAUAAAUUAAAACUUUCAACAACGGAUCUCUUGGCUCUGGCAUCGAUGAAGAACGCAGCGAAAUGCGAUAAGUAAUGUGAAUUGCAGAAUUCAGUGAAUCAUCGAAUCUUUGAACGCACAUUGCGCCCGCCAGUAUUCUGGCGGGCAUGCCUGUUCGAGCGUCAUUACAACCCUCAGGCCCCCGGGCCUGGCGUUGGGGAUCGGCGGAGCCCCCCGUGGGCACACGCCGUCCCCCAAAUACAGUGGCGGUCCCGCCGCAGCUUCCAUCGCGUAGUAGCUAACACCUCGCGACUGGAGAGCGGCGCGGCCACGCCGUAAAACACCCAACUCUUCUGAAGUUGACCUCGAAUCAGGUAGGAAUACCCGCUGAACUUAAG
Molecule: ribosomal RNA, 487 nt
Filed under: Fusarium solani
Lineage: Eukaryota; Fungi; Ascomycota; Sordariomycetes; Hypocreales; Nectriaceae
Description: eukaryotic LSU rRNA
Rfam family: 5.8S ribosomal RNA (bases 121-274)
Source: RNAcentral